AACACAUGCAAGUCGAACGAUGAUCCCAGCUUGCUGGGGGAUUAGUGGCGAACGGGUGAGUAACACGUGAGUAACCUGCCCUUGACUCUGGGAUAAGCCUGGGAAACUGGGUCUAAUACCGGAUAUGACUCCUCAUCGCAUGGUGGGGGGUGGAAAGCCUUUUGUGGUUUUGGAUGGACUCGCGGCCUAUCAGCUUGUUGGUGGGGUAAUGGCCUACCAAGGCGACGACGGGUAGCCGGCCUGAGAGGGUGACCGGCCACACUGGGACUGAGACACGGCCCAGACUCCUACGGGAGGCAGCAGUGGGGAAUAUUGCACAAUGGGCGCAAGCCUGAUGCAGCGACGCCGCGUGAGGGAUGACGGCCUUCGGGUUGUAAACCUCUUUCAGUAGGGAAGAAGCGUAAGUGACGGUACCUGCAGAAGAAGCGCCGGCUAACUACGUGCCAGCAGCCGCGGUAAUACGUANGGCGCAAGCGUUAUCCGGAAUUAUUGGGCGUAAA
This 500-nucleotide ribosomal RNA is filed under the name uncultured bacterium. Its description in RNAcentral is "bacterial SSU rRNA". It matches the Rfam family "Bacterial small subunit ribosomal RNA", at positions 50 to 564 of the family's 1533-position model. The record is from RNAcentral.